GGUACGUCAUUCUCUUGCCUGUUAUUCGUCUUUAUCAAAAGGAGUUUAUCACCCUAAUGCUUCAUUUCCUGCGUCGGGUUUUUGCCUAUUGCUUUCUAUCAUUGACUGCUACUCCCCGUAGCUGCCUCCCGUACGUCCUAUGGGAGUCAUUGGGGGA
RNAcentral lists this ribosomal RNA (157 nucleotides) under uncultured Helicobacter sp. RNAcentral's name for it is "partial 16S ribosomal RNA". Lineage: Bacteria; Pseudomonadati; Campylobacterota; Epsilonproteobacteria; Campylobacterales; Helicobacteraceae. The record is from RNAcentral.